RNAcentral lists this ribosomal RNA (442 nucleotides) under uncultured bacterium. RNAcentral describes it as "partial 16S ribosomal RNA". It matches the Rfam family "Bacterial small subunit ribosomal RNA", at positions 339 to 795 of the family's 1533-position model. The record is from RNAcentral.
CUACGGGCGGCAGCAGUAAAGAAUCUUCCGCAAUGGGGGAAACCCUGACGGAGCAACACUGCGUGGAGGAUGAAGGCUUUCGGGUUGUAAACUCCUUUUCUGGGGGACGAAGUUCUGACGGUACCCCAGGAAUAAGCGACGGCAAACUACGUGCCAGCAGCCGCGGUAAUACGUAGGUCGCAAGCGUUAUCCGGAAUCAUUGGGCGUAAAGCAUUCGUAUGUUGUUUUGUAAAUCUGUGAUUAAAUCCCACCGCUCAACGGAGGACUUGUCAUGGAAACUGCAAAACUUUGAGAAGUGCAGGGGCAGAUGGAAUUUCGGAAGUAGGGGUAAAAUCCGUAGAUCUCCGAAGGAACACCAAACGCGAAAGCAUUCUGCUAGGCACUUUCUGACACUGAAGAAUGACAGCGUGGGGAGCAAACAGGAUUAGAUACCCCGGUAGUC